GACGAACGUUGGCGGUGCGUCUUAGACAUGCAAGUCGAGCGAGAAAGUCCCGCAAGGGAUGAGUAAAGCGGCGAACGGGUGAGUAAUACUUGGGUAACGUACCUCCGAGAUCGGGACAACAGACCGAAAGGUUUGCUAAUACCGGAUAAGACCACAGUGGCUACGGCCGCAGGGGUCAAAGAUGGCGCAAGCUAUCACUUGGAGAUCGGCUCAAGCACCAUUAGCUAGUUGGCGGGGUAAUGGCCCACCAAGGCUACGAUGGUUAGCCGACCUGAGAGGGUGAUCGGCCACACUGGGACUGAGAUACGGCCCAGACUCCUACGGGAGGCAG
Molecule: ribosomal RNA, 331 nt
Filed under: uncultured Nitrospirota bacterium
Lineage: Bacteria; Pseudomonadati; Nitrospirota
Description: bacterial SSU rRNA
Rfam family: Bacterial small subunit ribosomal RNA
Source: RNAcentral